RNAcentral lists this ribosomal RNA (484 nucleotides) under uncultured bacterium. RNAcentral describes it as "partial 16S ribosomal RNA". It matches the Rfam family "Bacterial small subunit ribosomal RNA", at positions 30 to 507 of the family's 1533-position model. The record is from RNAcentral.
AUUGAACGCUGGCGGCAGGCCUAACACAUGCAAGUCGAGCGGAUGAAGGGAGCUUGCUCCUGGAUUCAGCGGCGGACGGGUGAGUAAUGCCUAGGAAUCUGCCUGGUAGUGGGGGAUAACGUCCGGAAACGGGCGCUAAUACCGCAUACGUCCUGAGGGAGAAAGUGGGGGAUCUUCGGACCUCACGCUAUCAGAUGAGCCUAGGUCGGAUUAGCUAGUUGGUGGGGUAAAGGCCUACCAAGGCGACGAUCCGUAACUGGUCUGAGAGGAUGAUCAGUCACACUGGAACUUAGACACGGUCCAGACUCCUACGGGAGGCAGCAGUGGGGAAUAUUGGACAAUGGGCGAAAGCCUGAUCCAGCCAUGCCGCGUGUGUGAAGAAGGUCUUCGGAUUGUAAAGCACUUUAAGUUGGGAGGAGGGGCAGUAAGUUAAUACCUUGCUGUUUUGACGUUACCAACAGAAUAAGCACCGGCUAACUUCGUG